This 363-nucleotide long non-coding RNA is filed under the name Rattus norvegicus (Norway rat). Its description in RNAcentral is "long non-coding RNA NONRATT027487". Lineage: Eukaryota; Metazoa; Chordata; Mammalia; Rodentia; Muridae. The record is from RNAcentral.
ACUCAAAGAUGGUGAAACAAGAAAGACAACCUGUAUUCCCAGAACUGAGAACGCUGAGGAGUAGAUCAGCCAGUGGUUUUAGAGGUCCACCCCGUGACGCUGGGCCAGAUGAAGAACAUUGUCCCCGACUCUGCCCCUCACCGGGAUCCGCUUGCCAGAGCGGUCCACGAACACCACGUUGACCCUGGGGACAAACGGUGCAGGUGCUGAGCCCGAGGCCGGCCUGUGGCUAGGUGGCAGGGCGGGGCAGGGCGUGGCACGGCGGGCACUCACACAUCCCGGGGCAGCUCCGGGCUGUCCGCCUCGUCCUCGCCAGCACGCCGCUCGCCUGUAAACACACGAGUGGGUGAGCGGCUGCGGCCG